AGCGAACGCUGGCGGCAGGCCUAACACAUGCAAGUCGAACGAACUCUUCGGAGUUAGUGGCGGACGGGUGAGUAACACGUGGGAACGUGCCUUUAGGUUCGGAAUAACUCAGGGAAACUUGUGCUAAUACCGAAUGUGCCCUUCGGGGGAAAGAUUUAUCGCCUUUAGAGCGGCCCGCGUCUGAUUAGCUAGUUGGUGAGGUAAAGGCUCACCAAGGCGACGAUCAGUAGCUGAUCUGAGAGGAUGAUCAGCCACAUUGGGACUGAGACACGGCCCAAACUCCUACGGGGGGCAGCAGUGGUGAAUCUUGCGCAAUGGGCGAAAGCCUGACGCAGCCAUGCCGCGUGAAUGAUGAAGGUCUUAGGAUUGUAAAAUUCUUUCACCGGGGACGAUAAUGACGGUACCCGGAGAAGAAGCCCCGGCUAACUUCGUGCCAGCCGCCGCCGUAA
This 449-nucleotide ribosomal RNA is filed under the name uncultured bacterium. Its description in RNAcentral is "partial 16S ribosomal RNA". It matches the Rfam family "Bacterial small subunit ribosomal RNA", at positions 29 to 523 of the family's 1533-position model. The record is from RNAcentral.